GACGAACGCUGGCGGCGUGCCUAAUACAUGCAAGUUGAGCGCUGAAGGUUGGUACUUGUUCCAACUGGAUGAGCAGCGAACGGGUGAGUAACGCGUGGGGAAUCUGCCUUUGAGCGGGGGACAACAUUUGGAAACGAAUGCUAAUACCGCAUAAAAACUUUAAACACAAGUUUUAAGUUUGAAAGAUGCAAUUGCAUCACUCAAAGAUGAUCCCGCGUUGUAUUAGCUAGUUGGUGAGGUAAAGGCUCACCAAGGCGAUGAUACAUAGCCGACCUGAGAGGGUGAUCGGCCACAAUGGGACUGAGACACGGCCCAAACUCCUACGGGAGGCAGCAGUAGGGAAUCUUCGGCAAUGGACGAAAGUCUGACCGAGCAACGCCGCGUGAGUGAAGAAGGUUUUCGGAUCGUAAAACUCUGUUGGUAGAGAAGAACGUUGGUGAGAGUGGAAAGCUCAUAAAGUGACGGUAACUACCCAGAAAGGGACGGCUAACUACGUG
This 497-nucleotide ribosomal RNA is filed under the name uncultured bacterium. RNAcentral's name for it is "partial 16S ribosomal RNA". It matches the Rfam family "Bacterial small subunit ribosomal RNA", at positions 28 to 507 of the family's 1533-position model. The record is from RNAcentral.